This is a long non-coding RNA of Aethalodelphis obliquidens (Pacific white-sided dolphin), 202 nucleotides long. RefSeq lists it as uncharacterized. The record is from RefSeq and is a predicted model, not a curated record. Lineage: Eukaryota; Metazoa; Chordata; Mammalia; Artiodactyla; Delphinidae. The transcript is spliced from 3 exons.
UUUUUUUGACAACUCUAGUUUUUUAAGGAACCUCCAUACUGUUCUCCAUAGUGGCUGUAUCAAUAUACAUUCCCACGAACAGUGGAAGAGGGCUCCCUUUGCUCCACAUCUCCUCUAGCAUUUAGUGUUUGUAGAUUUUUUAAUGAUGGCCAUUCUGACCAGUGUGAGGAUUGUACUUUUGAUUUGCAUUUCUCUAAUGAUU